Molecule: ribosomal RNA, 301 nt
Filed under: uncultured bacterium
Lineage: Bacteria
Description: partial 16S ribosomal RNA
Rfam family: Bacterial small subunit ribosomal RNA
Source: RNAcentral
CAGCAGCCGCGGUAAGACGAGGGAUCCUAGCGUUGUUCGGAAUUAUUGGGCGUAAAGCGGGUGUAGGUGGCUUUGUAAGUCAGGUGUGAAAGCCCAGGGCUCAACCCUGGAAGUGCAUUUGAUACUGCGAAGCUUGAGUGUAGGAGAGGUUACUAGAAUUCUUGGUGUAGUGGUGAAAUACGUAGAUAUCAAGAGGAAUACCGGAGGCGAAGGCGGGUAACUGGCCUAACACUGACACUCAGACCCGAAAGCGUGGGGAUCAAACAGGAUUAGAUACCCCCGUAGUCCCUGUCUCUUAUAC